AUUGAACGCUGGCGGCAUGCCUUACACAUGCAAGUCGAACGGUAACAGGUCUUCGGAUGCUGACGAGUGGCGAACGGGUGAGUAAUACAUCGGAACGUGCCUAGUAGUGGGGGAUAACUACUCGAAAGAGUGGCUAAUACCGCAUGAGAUCUACGGAUGAAAGCAGGGGAUCGCAAGACCUUGUGCUACUAGAGCGGCCGAUGGCAGAUUAGGUAGUUGGUGGGAUAAAAGCUUACCAAGCCGACGAUCUGUAGCUGGUCUGAGAGGACGAUCAGCCACACUGGGACUGAGACACGGCCCAGACUCCUACGGGAGGCAGCAGUGGGGAAUUUUGGACAAUGGGCGAAAGCCUGAUCCAGCAAUGCCGCGUGCAGGAUGAAGGCCUUCGGGUUGUAAACUGCUUUUGUACGGAACGAAAAGCCCCGGGUUAAUAUCCUGGGGUCAUGACGGUACCCAAAGAAUAAGCACCGGCUAACUUCGUGCCAGCAGCCGCGGUAA
This 498-nucleotide ribosomal RNA is filed under the name uncultured bacterium. RNAcentral describes it as "partial 16S ribosomal RNA". It matches the Rfam family "Bacterial small subunit ribosomal RNA", at positions 30 to 523 of the family's 1533-position model. The record is from RNAcentral.